AGCGUACACGGUGGAUGCCCUGGCAGUCAGAGGCGAUGAAGGACGUGCUAAUCUGCGAAAAGCGCCGGCGAGGUGAUAUGAACCUUUGACCCGGCGAUGUCCGAAUGGGGAAACCCAGUGUGAUUCGUCACACUAUCGUUAACUGAAUACAUAGGUUAACGAGGCGAACCGGGGGAACUGAAACAUCUAAGUACCCCGAGGAAAAGAAAUCAACCGAGAUUCCCCCAGUAGCGGCGAGCGAACGGGGAGCAGCCCAGAGUCUGAAUCAGCUUGUGUGUUAGUGGAAGCGUCUGGAAAGUCGCACGGUACAGGGUGACAGUCCCGUACACGAAAGCACACAGGUUGUGAACUCGAAGAGUAGGGCGGGACACGUGGUAUCCUGUCUGAAUAUGGGGGGACCAUCCUCCAAGGCUAAAUACUCCUGACUGACCGAUAGUGAACCAGUACCGUGAGGGAAAGGCGAAAAGAACCCCGGCGAGGGGAGUGAAAAAGAACCUGAAACCGUGUACGUACAAGCAGUGGGAGCACCUUCGUGGUGUGACUGCGUACCUUUUGUAUAAUGGGUCAGCGACUUAUAUUCUGUAGCAAGGUUAACCGUAUAGGGGAGCCGAAGGGAAACCGAGUCUUAACUGGGCGUUAAGUUGCAGGGUAUAGACCCGAAACCCGGUGAUCUAGCCAUGGGCAGGUUGAAGGUUGGGUAACACUAACUGGAGGACCGAACCGACUAAUGUUGAAAAAUUAGCGGAUGACUUGUGGCUGGGGGUGAAAGGCCAAUCAAACCGGGAGAUAGCUGGUUCUCCCCGAAAGCUAUUUAGGUAGCGCCUCGUGAACUCAUCUUCGGGGGUAGAGCACUGUUUCGGCUAGGGGGCCAUCCCGGCUUACCAACCCGAUGCAAACUACGAAUACCGAAGAAUGUUAUCACGGGAGACACACGGCGGGUGCUAACGUCCGUCGUGAAGAGGGAAACAACCCAGACCGCCAGCUAAGGUCCCAAAGUCAUGGUUAAGUGGGAAACGAUGUGGGAAGGCACAGACAGCCAGGAUGUUGGCUUAGAAGCAGCCAUCAUUUAAAGAAAGCGUAAUAGCUCACUGGUCGAGUCGGCCUGCGCGGAAGAUGUAACGGGGCUAAACCAUGCACCGAAGCUGCGGCAGCGACACUAUGUGUUGUUGGGUAGGGGAGCGUUCUGUAAGCCGUUGAAGGUGUGCUGUGAGGCAUGCUGGAGGUAUCAGAAGUGCGAAUGCUGACAUAAGUAACGAUAAAGCGGGUGAAAAGCCCGCUCGCCGGAAGACCAAGGGUUCCUGUCCAACGUUAAUCGGGGCAGGGUGAGUCGACCCCUAAGGCGAGGCCGAAAGGCGUAGUCGAUGGGAAACAGGUUAAUAUUCCUGUACUUGGUGUUACUGCGAAGGGGGGACGGAGAAGGCUAUGUUAGCCGGGCGACGGUUGUCCCGGUUUAAGCAUGUAGGCGGAACGAUUAGGUAAAUCCGGUCGUUUUUUAACGCUGAGGUGUGAUGACGAGGCACUACGGUGCUGAAGUAACAAAUGCCCUGCUUCCAGGAAAAGCCUCUAAGCAUCAGGUAACAUCAAAUCGUACCCCAAACCGACACAGGUGGUCAGGUAGAGAAUACCAAGGCGCUUGAGAGAACUCGGGUGAAGGAACUAGGCAAAAUGGUGCCGUAACUUCGGGAGAAGGCACGCUGAUAUGUAGGUGAAGCCCCUGCGGGUGGAGCUGAAAUCAGUCGAAGAUACCAGCUGGCUGCAACUGUUUAUUAAAAACACAGCACUGUGCAAACACGAAAGUGGACGUAUACGGUGUGACGCCUGCCCGGUGCCGGAAGGUUAAUUGAUGGGGUUAGCGGCAACGCGAAGCUCUUGAUCGAAGCCCCGGUAAACGGCGGCCGUAACUAUAACGGUCCUAAGGUAGCGAAAUUCCUUGUCGGGUAAGUUCCGACCUGCACGAAUGGCGUAAUGAUGGCCAGGCUGUCUCCACCCGAGACUCAGUGAAAUUGAACUCGCUGUGAAGAUGCAGUGUACCCGCGGCAAGACGGAAAGACCCCGUGAACCUUUACUAUAGCUUGACACUGAACACUGGUCCUUGAUGUGUAGGAUAGGUGGGAGGCUUUGAAGUGUGGACGCCAGUCUGCAUGGAGCCGUCCUUGAAAUACCACCCUUUAAUGGCUGGUGUUCUAACGUAGACCCGUAAUCCGGGUUGCGGACAGUGUCUGGUGGGUAGUUUGACUGGGGCGGUCUCCUCCCAAAGAGUAACGGAGGAGCACGAAGGUUAGCUAAUCCUGGUCGGACAUCAGGAGGUUAGUGCAAUGGCAUAAGCUAGCUUGACUGCGAGAGUGACGGCUCGAGCAGGUGCGAAAGCAGGUCAUAGUGAUCCGGUGGUUCUGAAUGGAAGGGCCAUCGCUCAACGGAUAAAAGGUACUCCGGGGAUAACAGGCUGAUACCGCCCAAGAGUUCAUAUCGACGGCGGUGUUUGGCACCUCGAUGUCGGCUCAUCACAUCCUGGGGCUGAAGUAGGUCCCAAGGGUAUGGCUGUUCGCCAUUUAAAGUGGUACGCGAGCUGGGUUUAGAACGUCGUGAGACAGUUCGGUCCCUAUCUGCCGUGGGCGCUGGAGAAUUGAGGGGGGCUGCUCCUAGUACGAGAGGACCGGAGUGGACGCAUCACUGGUGUUCGGGUUGUCAUGCCAAUGGCACUGCCCGGUAGCUAAAUGCGGAAAAGAUAAGUGCUGAAAGCAUCUAAGCACGAAACUUGCCCCGAGAUGAGUUCU
Molecule: ribosomal RNA, 2774 nt
Filed under: Enterobacter cloacae
Lineage: Bacteria; Pseudomonadati; Pseudomonadota; Gammaproteobacteria; Enterobacterales; Enterobacteriaceae
Description: bacterial LSU rRNA
Rfam family: Bacterial large subunit ribosomal RNA
Source: RNAcentral